This 227-nucleotide long non-coding RNA is filed under the name Aquilegia coerulea. Its description in RNAcentral is "long non-coding RNA (ACOE_LNC000506)". The record is from RNAcentral. Lineage: Eukaryota; Viridiplantae; Streptophyta; Magnoliopsida; Ranunculales; Ranunculaceae.
UCAAUUGAAGAGCAUGACAUAAUUCAAAGUGAUCAGUACAUAAAUUAAUCAAUUCAAAGUGAUCAGAAAAUGGAUUUAGAACAAAAAUCAAAAAGCAUCUUCCCACUCAAAACAUGGUCUUAAAACUGUCCACAAAAACAUGUUGACCACAACAAAACAAAAGGUUCACACAUCAAGAACCCAGUAGACUUAAAAUCAUAUUAUUUAAAAAACAUACAGUACACUAG